Molecule: ribosomal RNA, 893 nt
Filed under: uncultured archaeon
Lineage: Archaea
Description: bacterial SSU rRNA
Rfam family: Archaeal small subunit ribosomal RNA
Source: RNAcentral
UGAUCCCGCCGGACCUGACUGCUAUCGGAUUGAUACUAAGCCAUGCGGGUCAUUGUAGCAAUGCAAGGCAGACGGCUCAGUAACGCGUAGUCAACCUACCCUAUGGACGGGAAUAAUCUCGGGAAACUGAGGAUAAUUCCAGAUAGAACACUAUGCCUGGAACGGUUUGUGUUCCAAAUGAUUUAUCGCCAUAGGAUGGGACUGCGGCCUAUCAGUUUGUUGGUGAGGUAAUGGCCCACCAAGACUAUUACAGGUACGGGCUCUGAGAGGAGUAGCCCGGAGAUGGGUACUGAGACACGGACCCAGGCCCUAUGGGGCGCAGCAGGCGAGAAAACUUUGCAAUGUGCGAAAGCACGACAAGGUUAAUCCGAGUGGUUCCUGCUAAAGGAACCUUUUGACGGUCCUAAAAACACCGUUGAAUAAGGGGUGGGCAAGUUCUGGUGUCAGCCGCCGCGGUAAAACCAGCACCUCAAGUGGUCAGGAUGAUUAUUGGGCCUAAAGCAUCCGUAGCCGGCUCUGUUAGUUUUCGGUUAAAUCUGUACGCUCAACGUACAGGCUGCCGGGAAUACUACAGAGCUAGGGAGUGGGAGAGGUAGACGGUACUUGGAAGGAAGGGGUAAAAUCCUUUGAUCUAUUGAUGACCACCUGUGGCGAAGGCGGUCUACUAGAACACGUCCGACGGUGAGGGAUGAAAGCUGGGGGAGCAAACCGGAUUAGAUACCCGGGUAGUCCCAGCUGUAAACCAUGCAAACUCAAUGAUGCACUGGCUUGAAGCCAAUGCAGUGUUGCAGGGAAGCCGUUAAGUUUGCCGCCUGGGAAGUACGUACGCAAGUAUGAAACUUAAAGGAAUUGGCGGGGGAGCACCACAAGGGGUGAAGCCUGCGGUUCGCGGU